This 461-nucleotide ribosomal RNA is filed under the name Physella acuta. RNAcentral describes it as "partial 16S ribosomal RNA". Lineage: Eukaryota; Metazoa; Mollusca; Gastropoda; Physidae. The record is from RNAcentral.
UUAUUAUUGUCGAUAUCUUCUGCCCGGUGUUUAUAUAAACGGCCGCAGUACCUUGACUGUGCUAAGGUAGCAUAAUCAAUUGGCUAUUAAUUGUAGUCUAGUAUGAAUGAAGUAAUGAAUAGUAACUAUAAUAAGAAAUUUUAUUUUAACUUAAUGAACUGGUGAAAAUACCAGUAUUCAGAAAAAAGACGAGAAGACCCUUAGAGUUUUURAAAUAAAGAUUGUUUAAGACUUUGAUGUAUCAUCAUCUUAAAGUAAUUAUACAACACACUUUUUUGUUGGGGCGACAAGAAAGCAAUAUAACCUUUCUAUUACGCUAAAAGUGGGUAUUAGAUCUGACGAUAUUAUUAUGAAUGACUAAACUACCUGAGGGAUAACAGCAUAAUGAUAAAUAUUAGUUUGUGACCUCGAUGUUGUACUAGGGACUUGUACACUAACCGUGAUAAAAGCUUGUUCUGUUC